This 6509-nucleotide long non-coding RNA is filed under the name Nicotiana benthamiana. RNAcentral describes it as "long non-coding RNA (NBEN_LNC006633)". The record is from RNAcentral. Lineage: Eukaryota; Viridiplantae; Streptophyta; Magnoliopsida; Solanales; Solanaceae.
AAAAACUUGUAGAAGAAUUCCCAAGCCUUGCUCCUAUUGUGUCUCUGCCUCCUUAGGUCAAAUGUAUGUCAAAAAUAUGUCCAAUCUUCAAAAAAAUCAUUUUCCAUGUAUAUAUACCAAGUAGGGUUGGGAACAAACACUUAUACCUUCUCCUACGCAAAAAGGACAAGUUUUAGGCCUGGAUGUCCGGAGUUCUACCGUGGUCGUGCCCGGGCCGCGGCCAGAAUGGCCUGCAGAAUCUGCAACAGUGUUCUGCCGCGGUCCUACCGUGGUUUACGGUUUCGACUGCAUCUUUUACCGUGUUCCUCUUGGAAUUAGAACAGAUGUAAAACAAGAAAGUUGUAGACCUUUGAGGUUUCUUUCCAGAAAUAUAUUAUGAGCCAAAUAGAGUUCUGAGCAAAACGUUAUGUGCAAUUUACUAGACAGUGCACAAUAUGCUUUAUCAAGUCUUCGUUUUGUUGUUUUAUCAUCCGUUGAUCCCCGAAUACGAUUCCGGCUUAAUUCCUUGGGCUUUUACUCAGAUUUCAAAGCUCCAAAUCACUUGAAUUCAUUCCAUAACAUAUAUAUAACUCGAAAUCGCUCCUACAAGGCAUAAAACACAUCGUUAGUGCAAAACACUAGCGAUUAAAGUGCAAACUCAACUAAAGUGCAGUAAAUUAGAGUAUAAUAAUCGACUAAAAUACAUAAUUAUAGUUGAUCAUCAACAGACCACAUUUACACCAUUGCUCGUCCUCGAGCAAUCAAACUACACUUUUUAUAGACAUGGCAUUUUUAAAUAAUUCUCCUAACUUAACACACCAAGAGUAUUUAAUAUAGACUCAGCACAAAAGCGUAACAUCUUCAUCUCAAGAUUUGACUCACAAGUACCACGCAUUAUUCACAACUCACCUACUUACUCUAACAUAGAGGUCAUUGACAUUACCUUUUCUUCAUAAAUCAAGUGCCCUCACACAACAAAAUAGAGUAGUUCCACAUAAUAAAAUUUAAGAAUACUUAGGAACUCAAGAUAGAAAGAAUUCACCCACUCUCAAAAUUAACAUUCAUAUUACACAAAAGAUGCACCAUAAGCUUGUCCGUAGUGUACUACUCCACUAAUCGAGCUCAUUCAAUCUAGGAUCAACUAGGACUUUAUUUGGUUGUAAUUUAGGCUACGGGAUGUGUAUGAUACAUUUAGAUAUACGAGUGACUACACCUCCCUAAGCACUUUAAUACAUACAUUUUAACAUUUAAACCCCACUCUUACGUCAAACCAAACUCCACAUUCACAUCAAUAUACAUCAACUCCCAAAUUAUUGAAGCACAAUUAUAUCAAGAAUCACCACUAUUAAAGAAUAUUUAUUUUUUCACAACAAUACAACUAUAUUAUUUAUUUCUUUCUUUUCUUUUUCAAUUCAAGUGGCUCUUGCUUUUCAAAUCAAUGCACUCUUUCUCCUUGUUUUAUUAGUUCCACUCAAAAGCCAAACCAACCACCCCGCACUUUAACUUUUACAAAGUUCAUAAACAAUUCAAGUGCUCAUGAGAUGAUAUAAUGGUUCAAAUAGAUGGUUAAUUCAAAUAAAUGGGUAAUGCUUGUAAUGUGGUUGCCAAUGAAAUAAUAUUACAGGCUCAAAUGGGUUAACUAUGAUAUAUGUUGAGUUGUCCUACAUCGGAGGGAUUUGAGGUCCUUGGUCUCCAUAUAUGGCUUGGGAAAUCCCCACCUCAUAAGGUAGCUUUUGGGGUUGAGUUAGUCCCAAGGUCCAUUCUUUUCAUGGUAUCAGAGCCAGACCCAUCCCAAUUAUUGUUACCGAUGUUAGAGCCAGGCCCAUCCCAAUUAUUGUUACCGAUGUUGGGCCCCCAUUUAUGUUGUCCACGCUCCGGAGAUCUGGGCGUGAAGGGGGUGUUGAGUUGUCCCACAUCGGAGGGAUUUGAGGUCCUUGGUCUCCUUAUGUGGAUUGGAAAAUCCUCACCUAAUAAGCUAGCUUUUGUGGUUGAGUUCGGCCCAAGGUUCAUUCUUUUCGAUAUAUAGCAAUUAGGUGGGUAAAAUAUACAUAUUUUAGUUCUUAUAUAACUAAGAUAAUUUUUUGCAUAUUUUUAUAAAUUUAUUUAGUAUUUUAAGGUAAAUUGCAUAUAAUUGUAAUAUUAGUCAUUUUAAGAUUCAAUUAUGUUUUAUAUUCCUAAAAUUAAGUUAUGUAUUUUUAAAUUAUUAAUUAUAUAUUAUAAAUCAUUUUAGUUCUUUCAAUUAGUUUUCAGAAUUUAUUUAUUAUCUUUUAUAAAUUAAAUGGGGAAAAGGGACUAUUUAACGUAUAGCCAAAUUUUGCUUUCUAAUUUAGCCUACAUAUAACCCAAUACCCAACUCCAAUUAAACCAACCCAAUACCCAAUCAUAAUUUACCCGACCCACAGCCAAUUUAAAUGACCCACCCCGCUCCCCGUAUAAUUUAGGCUGUUGAUCAAACUGAUCAACGGCCACAUUUCAACCUUACCAUUUUUAAUUACCCAUUACCCCUCCCCCCCUCCCCAAACCCUACUCAUUUGACAUUACUCUCUCGAAGCUUUUCAAGCCCUGGCCGCCUACCACCAUUUUCGCCUGAAGGACACCGGAAUACAUGGCUUCCAAGGCUAUGGAAAUCCUAUACCCGCCUUCUACGGCUCAUACACGCCUAGUUUUUGAAGAUUCAAAUCCUGAUAAUGACAAAGUUUGGCCAGGCUCCGAUUGAUUCGAGUUCUACGACCAUAUCCGGCCUUGCUCCGGCGUGCCAUGGCUGUUCGAGCCUGAUUUUGACUUCUCCGGCUUAGCUCAGUGACUUUUCCAAGCCUUUCUCACUAUUGGGGUUCUUCUGAAACCCUAACCCUUCGAGGUUUUUCCGAUUUCUUUAGAUCCGUUAUAUAUUUGUGUUUCUCUGAGUUCUUAAGCAUUUUUCUCAAAGUCCUUUUAAAACUACACCUCCCGAACCUUAAUCUUUUUCCGAUCUAGGGUUUCGUCAAGUUGUCCUUUAAAAUUUCUCUAAUCUUUAGCAUGUUUUACUGUAUUUCUUGUCACACCUCCUUUUUACACAUACCUACCCCGAAGGAUAAAGUAUAAGGGAGAUUUUCCAAUUAAAGUAACAUUAUUCGAAUCGGGAUUAUUUAUUUAUUUAGAGUCUCCACUUGGGGUAGGUUUGGAUUUUGGUGUCCCAAGUCACCGAUUUAUCUUGAAUCCCAAUUCGAGGAAAAUAUUCGACAUUUCAAGUGAAGUUUGCGAACCAGAAAUUCUAAGUAAGGAAUUCUGUUGACACCAGGGAAGGUGUUAAGAACCCCCAGAUCCCGUGGUUCUAUCAUGGUCGCUUAAACUAUUAUAAUAUGCUAAACAUUUGAUUUUAAUACAUGUUUCAAUUUAAAGUGCAAUUUUCAAUUACUUGCCGCUUUAAAUUAAAUUUUAGGAAUUUGCAACAUUAUUAAAAUACAUCUCGAACCACGUUGUAUCAAUGCACCCGUGAUAUUUGACAUAUUCUAAUGCCGAUGAGAUUUGGAUUUUAGUCACAUAAAUAUGCACCUGGGUUUAAGAAGGUAAUAUUAUUAAAUGCCAGACCUAUAGCAACUAGCAUAUUAUUAACUUUGUGAGAGGCCAUGAAAUUCGGUAAAUGGCACGUCCCGAGAUCUAAAUAUUUUUUAAAUAAGUAAUUAAAGAGGGCCAUGCAAUUUGUGAUUUUUUAUUUGGCGCGGCACAACUCAUUUAUUUUAAAGGCCGUCCAAAAGGGACUAUAUUUUCUAUUAAGUAUUGUCUCUAAAAUGGCAUUAAUUAAUUAGCAUUAUUGAUUACUAUUAUUAAAAGUAUUCAAGGAAUUUGGGCCUCAAGUUCAAGUACACAUUUAAACAAAAGGAAAGCAUCUUUAGCAGAUUGGGUGGUCAUAUAACUGGACAGACCAUCUCAAUGAAGUAUCCAAACUUUGGGCCCAAAAUGAGCCCAAUUAAAAGUGAGGGGAGAAUGUUCAGGGAUAGGAACAUGGCUAUUCUUCAGCAAGGCCUACGUUGAACCCAAUACAAUUAUUUGUGUUCCUAGAGUUUGAUAUCCGUUUUUAACUUAUGAACCAUUGAACGGGCAACCAUUUUUAGAAUUUGAGACAAUUUAGCCUUAACAACUUGACACAUACAACAACUAAAUGAUUCAAAAUGAAUAUGCAAUGACAACCAUUUGACUAUUCAUGAUUCACCCGAAUAACCAAACCAAAAUUGGAUCAUACUAUGUGUGAAAACAAACGACUUAAUGUUCCAAUCCAUAUGCUGAUUUUAAAUCUAUAUUUCAUGCUUGGCUCUGGAUUUGUUUACUAAAAAAAAUGCUGUUGUAAAGGCUUAAUUCCAGAACUGUGUUUAAACCUACGUGAGUCAUUGAUAAAUUCCUGUGAACAUAGAUUUAACUAUGAUUCAAUAUUUAUUAACAUGGCAUCAAAUUCUGAAUGAAAUUGAGUUAUACUAAAGCUGUACUAAACAACUGUAUUAGAUAGUCUUAUUAAGACAAACUAACAAAACUAACAGUCCAAUUACAAUGGUCUAAAUGCAGCCCAGUUUUAACUACAGAAGUCAAACAUCAACUGCUAACACGUGAACUAACAUUCAGUUAUUCAGUCCAGUGAUACAGUCCAUCUACAUUCAAUCAAUAUCAAAUACUAUUACUACCUAAUCUAACAUGUGAAUUAAUGUGUACAGAAGUAGGCUAAACAUGAAGUUGACAUGAGUAGUUUUUCAUUUAUUCAACAAUCCGGAUAUACUUAUGGAUUUAGUCCUUCAUACAUUAUUUGAAUUGAAGAAUAUCUGAAAUUAAGGCAAAAUGAGAGGAGGAGGAGGAGGAGUGAUCAGCUGCAACAGAAUAAGAGCAGAUGCAUAAACUUCAGCAGGAAGCAGCAAAAUCACAUCCAAAACCCAGGGAAUCGAUUCAGGCAAAUGACACUAGUAAAUGACCAAAACUAAAUUCCAAUUAAACUCAAACAGACUUGGAAAUGAACCCAGGAAAGCUUCUGAACUUCAGCAAUCAGAAAUAUCCCUAUCUAGGCUAGAAGAUGCAAAUUAACAGCUAAAACUCGAAAUUAACCUAAGAGUUUCAAUAGAAUAGUAUUUUUGGAGUUUUUACUUUUUGGUUUUAGAAUGUUUAAGAUCUAGAAGGAUUUCAAAUUUGGGUUUUUUAAAUUUGACAAAUUCGAAUUUCAGAUUUCAAAACCUGUAGAAACUUUUUGGGGGAAUUUUCAGAUGCCAAACUUGUUAAACACGGCAGUGGGGACUAUCUUUUAUAGGCAAAAUUGAGGAAAAGUUUCAGAUGUUUGUUUCACAUCUUUAUUCUCUCUUUUAUUUUCAGUUUUUAGCUGAUUAGACCUUCAUUUUCUGACUUGUUUCUCAAGUUACUUUACUAAGUUAUUGAUAUUUCAAUUAAAGUCCUAUUCUAGAAGAUUCUAGCUUCACCUACAACAUUGUUUUCUACCUAAGAAUGCCUAUACUACCCUUUAUUUAGUCUGAAAUUUCACUAACCUAGUACUAACUAAACCCCAGCCCCCCUUACUAACCAUGGUUAACUAAAUAAAAGUCUGGACUAUUUAGCUAUAACCAAAACAAUUUCAAGAACUUAUUCCAUUUAAUACUAAACAAAACUGAAAAUUAAUCCUAGUUCAUACUACUAUCGAACUAUCAAUUAAACAAAAUUAAUAAUCAACCACAAAAUUGAAAAAAACACAAGACCCUAUUAAUAUUACCGGGCCAUGAAUCAAACUAAAUUGACAUCAAUUCUAAGAAUACUAAAAAUAUAAACAGAAAAAUCAAGAUUAACUAAACUAAUCAAAAAAUGAACAAUCAAAGACUAGGAACUAAACACUAGCAGCAAAGUCCAACAAAAUCAAGUAAACUAAACCUAAACUAAAAAAAUCAAAAAUAACGCAAAACAGAAUCAUCAAACAAAAAAUAUAAAAUAUAAUACGAAGUACAACUCACUGAUUUUGGUCUUCAACUGGGCUGACCUCGAAUUUGAUUUUCAAUUAAUGUUAUAUGUUUAUUUUGUCCGAAAUAGACAUAUAACAUUAAUUAAAAAUCACUCGAACAAUUGAAACUCCCAAAACAUGUUGAAAUUUCGAGCCCUAGAUAUGAAAUUCAUGGGGUUUUACUUAGAUUUGAAGGGUUUUGGUUUGAGAUUUGGGAUGAUGAAGUCAAAGAGGCUAUAUGGUGUAGUUUUGGUCGAAUUUGGAGGAGUUAGGGUUUUGGUCGGAAUCUUUGAUUCAAGAUUCGACGACUUUGAUGGGAUUCGAGGGAAAGGGUUGGGGAUUUAAAAAGAGGAGGGUGAAGGGAUGCUAUGGUCUAAUUUUUAAGGUUAUUGGAGACACGCUGGCGGUAGAGGCGAUUUUCGGCAGACGACAGAAGGUGGCGGAGACGAGAAAGGGGUCUUUACGGUUCUAGAGAAACGAAAUGUGAGGGAACUUCUCAACCAUCAGAUCAACAAACAUAGACGGUUGAGAUUGAAUCUGGGCUAAACGGCAUCAUUUUCGGCAUGGCCAAGACUGGACUGGGUUGGGGGUU